CGCAGGAACCCAAAGGAUGAGUGUUCCCAGCACACCAGGGCACUUCAUAAAUGCAUCCCAUGGGGCUGCAUGGCUCCAGCGGUGCUGAAGUGAAUCUGGGGCCAUUCAGUACCCCAGAACAGAUGCACAGGUCUGGGGACUACAGAGCCCAGGACAGUGGGAGCCAGCUCCCCACACAGUGCCCUUCCAGGCCAGGCAUGGGGAGGUGGGUGGGAUAGGAAGGGUACCCACUCCCUCAGCCUUCUCCCCUAGUGAUCCCACCCCAGAAAAGACCACACAGUGAGAGUCCAACCUCUGCGCUAGCAAAGAGAAGCCCUUCUCAGCCAUCUCCUGGGCCCUUCCUGUUAUACACAGAAAGGACAGAGGAAAGCCCUCUUGACUCCACCUGCUCUAGGGUUCCCUUCUCUGUUUCCCUUCACAGCAGGCAAGCAGGUGCAUCCACAGGACUCCCUCUGGCCCUCCCAUCUCACCCUGCUUUGGACCAUCCCCCAAAACACUUUCCUGGGUCAGCUGUGGCCAAGCAGUGCCUGUUCCCUCAGGUCCAUGGUGGGUCAGGCCUUCCUCCCCUCUCUGGUACAUGGAUACCUAGAACACAUUUCCUCCUGUCUUUCCUCUCCUAG
This 620-nucleotide long non-coding RNA is filed under the name Nannospalax galili (Upper Galilee mountains blind mole rat). RNAcentral describes it as "lncRNA (ENSNGAG00000024530.1)". Lineage: Eukaryota; Metazoa; Chordata; Mammalia; Rodentia; Spalacidae. The record is from RNAcentral.